Molecule: non-coding RNA, 28 nt
Filed under: Homo sapiens (human)
Lineage: Eukaryota; Metazoa; Chordata; Mammalia; Primates; Hominidae
Source: RNAcentral
UCUGUGAAAUGGGGCAGUUCUUAAUGUA